AGGGGGAAAAUUAAUAAUUAUCAAUUUAAUAAAAUAAAUUUUUAAGUAAAAAUAUUUAGGGGGGUUUAAGUAUUUUUAAUAGAAAAAAUUUAAAAAUUUAAAGUGAAUAAGUAUUGUGAAAUAAAUUUGAAAUAUGGGUGAAAAUAUAAUUUAAGUCAAAGUAAUUUUAGUUUAAUGUAUCUUGUGUAUCAGAGUUUAUUAAUAAGAAUUUUUAGGGGAAAAUUUCUCGAAUUAAAAAGAGUUAAUUAAUUAAUAAAGUUAUUGUAAUAUAAAUAUUUUUAAUAAUUAAUUUGAAAUGAAAAGUUAUUCGUUUUUUAAUAUAUCUAGUUUUUUUAGAAAAAAAUUUAAUUUUUAAUUAAUUUAUAAAAUAAUUGAUUAUUUAAUUAUUUUAAAAAUUUAAUUAAAUAUUUUAAGGGAUAAUCUUUAAAUUAAAAUUUUAUAAAUAAAAUUAAUAUUAAUAAAAAUUUUAUAAUUUAUAUUGUUAAUAAAUUUUAGUUUAUUAUAAAUAAUUUUAUUAAAAAAAAAAUUUAAUUUAUUUUAAUUUUUUAUAAAAAUAUAAUUUUUAAUUUAAUAAAUUUAGAGAUAAUGAUAAAAUUAGUAUAUAAUUUAAUAUUUAUAAUAUAAAUUUUAAAAAAUAUAAAUAAAAAGAAUUCGGCAAAAUUUUUAUAUUCACCUGUUUAUCAAAAACAUGUCUUUAUGAAAAUAAUUUAAAGUCUAAUCUGCCCACUGAUAAUUUUAUUAAAGGGCUGCAGUAUUUUGACUGUACAAAGGUAGCAUAAUCAAUAGUCUCUUAAUUAGUGACUUGUAUGAAUGAUUGGAUGAAAUAUAAACUGUUUCUUAUUUAAAAAUUGAAUUUAAUUUUUUAGUUAAAAAGCUAAAAUAAAUUUAAAAGACGAGAAGACCCUAUAGAGUUUUAUAAAAUUUAUUAUUUUAUUUAAUUAUUAGAAUAAUAAUAAAAUUAUUAAAUUUUAUUUUAUUGGGGUGAUAAAAAAAUUAAAUAAACUUUUUUUUGAAAUAAAACAUAAAUAAUUGAUUAAAUUGAUCCAUGAUUUAUGAUUAUAAGAAAAAAUUACCUUAGGGAUAACAGCGUAAUUUUUUUUUUUAGUUCAAAUAAGAAAAAAAGUUUGCGACCUCGAUGUUGGAUUAAGAUAAAAUUUAAAUGUAAAAGUUUAAAAUUUUGAUCUGUUCGAUCAUUAAAAUCUUACAUGAUCUGAGUUCAAACCGGUGUGAGCCAGGUUGGUUUCUAUCUUUAAAAAUUUAAAAUAUUUUAGUACGAAAGGAUUGAAUAUUUAAAAUAAUUUUAAUUAAGGAAUAUUAUUAAUUUAUUUGUAAAAUUAUAAAAAUUAUUUUUUUUUUAAUUU
RNAcentral lists this ribosomal RNA (1361 nucleotides) under Zygaenoprocris persepolis. RNAcentral describes it as "16S ribosomal RNA". The record is from RNAcentral. Lineage: Eukaryota; Metazoa; Arthropoda; Insecta; Lepidoptera; Zygaenidae.